This 460-nucleotide ribosomal RNA is filed under the name uncultured bacterium. Its description in RNAcentral is "partial 16S ribosomal RNA". It matches the Rfam family "Bacterial small subunit ribosomal RNA", at positions 338 to 795 of the family's 1533-position model. The record is from RNAcentral.
CCUACGGGAGGCAGCAGUGAGGAAUAUUGGUCAAUGGCCGCAGGGCUGAACCAGCCAAGUCGCGUGAGGGAUGACGGUCCUAUGGAUUGUAAACCUCUUUUGUCAGGGAGCAAAGGGCGCCACGUGUGGCGUUUUGCGAGUACCUGAAGAAAAAGCAUCGGCUAACUCCGUGCCAGCAGCCGCGGUAAUACGGAGGAUGCGAGCGUUAUCCGGAUUUAUUGGGUUUAAAGGGAGCGUAGAUGGGUUGUUAAGUCAGUUGUGAAAGUUUGCGGCUCAACCGUAAAAUUGCAAUUGAUACUGGCAGUCUUGAGUACAGUUGAGGUAGGCGGAAUUCGUGGUGUAGCGGUGAAAUGCUUAGAUAUCACGAAGAACUCCGAUUGCGAAGGCAGCUUACUAAACUGCCACUGACAUUGAUGCUCGAAAGUGUGGGUAUCAAACAGGAUUAGAUACCCUUGUAGUC